GAGACUCGUAAGAACAGCAACGAUCGUGCGGAUCAGACGAAGCAGAGAGCGAGGAUUCCUGCACUGAAAGAGACAUCGAAGUGUUGAAAUCAGAGAUAUACAAUUUCUAGGUUUUAAUUGUAUUUGUGAUUGAUUAGAGAGUUGCUUACAUUACCUUCCUCUGACGUCGGGGUAGUCACUCAGCUUCGGUGGUUUCUUCGGCGUCAUCUGUUAGCUCUGCGAGGUUACAAGUUUGACGGUGAGAAGAAAGAAUAUGACUUCCUCUAAGCCGGAGUCUACAGCAUUCCAUUUCCAGCAGGUGACUUAUAUUUUUUUAAAUUUAAAAGUGAUUUGUCAAAGCUUUAGUUUAGAGAGUUAUGAUUCGGUUGAGCUUUUGUGGUUUGAGCUGGACAUCCUAGGUCUAUGAGUUCUAUUAAAGUUUAAAACUACAUGAAAUUUGUUGCAC
Brassica napus (rape) is the source of this 445-nucleotide long non-coding RNA. RefSeq lists it as uncharacterized. The transcript is spliced from 2 exons. The record is from RefSeq and is a predicted model, not a curated record. NCBI's taxonomy places the organism in Eukaryota, Viridiplantae, Streptophyta, Magnoliopsida, Brassicales, Brassicaceae.